GAACAGAAAUUCCUCUCUCUCGUCUGUUUCUACAAGGAUUAACCUCUAGAGCCAGCAGUUUGAGCUCAGUAUUGCUUCAUUUUGCUUGCUGUUAAAGAUACAAAUAGAAUUAACUUGUUUAGAUUUUAGAAAAGAAAAGAAAAGAAACUACUCUUUGUUCUCAUAUUAACAUCACCUAUAAAACUGUCAUUUCUCCGGGCUGUUUUUUGGCGUAUGACUUUGCCAUAACUAUCCCUUCAGGCACCUCCAUGGGUGUCAUGUGAACUCUGGCAGAUUUCCGUAUUUGUUAGAACUUCUGGAAGACAUCAUCAAGUAGAAACCUUUCACCUCACUUUCCAACAACUGUCUAGGACCACUUCGCUUCACGUUGACUCCUCAACAUAGCACAUGAGGAUCACCUCCCAGGUAGGGUACAGCUCGUUAGACAGUACUGAGGCCCAGGUUCCAGAGCUAAAUUUAAAAAAAUCAAUUCAUCCAAGUGGUUCUCUUUAUUUUAGUAGUUGGUAAGACGUUUUUUUCUUCUCCCCAAAGCUCCCCAGUACAUAGUUGUGUAUUCUAGUCAUAGGUCCUUCUGGUUGUGCUAUAUAGGACGCCACCUCAGCAUGGCCUGACGAGCGGUGCCAUGUGCUCACCCAGGACCCAAACCAGCGAAACCCUGGGCCACCAAAGCGGAGUGCAGGAACUUAAGCACUCAGCCACGGGGCCAGCCCCAGUUGGUCUACUGGAGAUCGCUUACUUAACAAACGGAUAGCACAGCCUCAGAGUCAUCAGAUACAACAUCAAAUUCCAACAUAUUAAAAAAGGAAAGAAUACAUGUGACGGAAAUUACCUUUGCUUACAAAAACUUGUUACAUACAAUCUGCAUAUUUUUAUUGGACCAAGAACUGUACUCUCCAUUUACAAAACCCAGAGAGAAACCUGCUAAAGCAAAGCAAAUUGAGUCUGCAGUUUUCACCAAGAGGUUGAAGGACUCUUCCACGCCAAGAGCAGUGCUCCUGACGAUGAAGACGUGGAGAGGGUGCGGAGGGUGGCUGAGCACUGGUGAUUGUCCCACCUGAGCAUGAUGGUUCCCGAUUUGGGAACUAGCCGUUCCACCCCCUCUUUCACUAUGUGCCCGAAUAUAUUCAAAAUGUCGUAUACACAUACAAUGAAAUGCUUUUCAGCAUUAAAAAAAGGAAGACAUCCUGCAAUAUGCGACAACGUUGAUGAAGGGGGACGUGAUGCUCAGUGAAAUAAUCCAGUCACAGAAGCACAAAGGCUGCGUGAUUCCACGUGUAUGAUGGAUUGUUCCUGAAGGAAACCAGAAUACGUGACCCCAAAAUAUGCCACCUUGACACAGUGGUUAAUUUGCAUUAAAGGCACUUGAGAAACAGUUGGUGCAAGAAGGCCACUCUGACGCCCCUUUGUCCUCCUGCGACUUCCCUGCGGCAUGUCCCCUCCCAGUGCCGGGACAAGGGAGGCAUCCUCACCGCCAGACACAGGGACUGGGGCCGAGGAAUCUGUGCAAACGAACCUUGCGAAACUCACCCUUAGCUGCCCAGUUCCAUCCUCAUGAUUUACUGCCCCAACCCAAACUCCUUUGUCUUGCC
RNAcentral lists this long non-coding RNA (1589 nucleotides) under Equus caballus (horse). RNAcentral's name for it is "lncRNA (ENSECAG00000053988.1)". The record is from RNAcentral. Lineage: Eukaryota; Metazoa; Chordata; Mammalia; Perissodactyla; Equidae.